GCAUCUAUGGUCUAACGGUUAGGAUUGCUGCCUUCCACGUCUAAGACGCCCAAGCAGCAGGUUCGGGUUCGACUCCCGAUGGAUGCA
RNAcentral lists this transfer RNA (87 nucleotides) under Pseudocercospora eumusae. Its description in RNAcentral is "Mycosphaerella eumusae tRNA". It matches the Rfam family "tRNA". Rfam says of the family: Transfer RNA (tRNA) molecules are approximately 80 nucleotides in length. Their secondary structure includes four short double-helical elements and three loops (D, anti-codon, and T loops). The record is from Rfam by way of RNAcentral. Lineage: Eukaryota; Fungi; Ascomycota; Dothideomycetes; Mycosphaerellales; Mycosphaerellaceae.